AACCGAACCGGAGUGCCAACCAACGGCACAACAGGCACACACACACACAACACACAACACACACACAACACCCGCUCCUCCUCCUCCUCCUCCCCUGGGUUGCACCGCCGGGCUGGGAGUUCGCCUGUUGGCGGUGGUGGUGGUGGUGUUGUUGCUCUUUGGUUGUUGUUGGUUGGAGUGACAAUAAACCAGCGUUAAUGCGGCCCCAAUCGCAACAGGCGGCGGCAACAACCGACCGACCUCCAACCACCGAACCAGCCAAACCAAGCAAGUGACCACUGGCAUGACAACAGGCACAUGCACACACAACACAACACAACGCACAACACAACACAACACACACACAACACCCGCUCCUCCUCCUCCUCCUCCCCCCGGUGGCACCGCCGGGCUGGGAGUUCGCCUGUUGGCGGUGGUGGUGGUGGUGGUGUUGCUGUUGUUGUUGGUUGGAGUGACAAUAAACCAGCAUUAAUGUGGCCCCGCUCGCAACAGGCGGCGGCAACAACCGACCGACCUCCAACCACCGAACCAGCCGAACCGAGCGAGUGACCACCGGCAUGACAACAGGCACACGCACACACAACACAACACAACACAACGCACACACGCAACACCCGCUCCUCCUCCUCCUCCUCCCCUGGGUGGCACUGCCGGGCUGGGAGUUCGCCUGUUGGUGGUGGUGGUGGUGUUGUUGCGGUUGUUGUUGGUUGGAGCGACAAUAGAACAGUGUUAACGCGGCUCAACAGUCGGCAGCAACAACCGACCAACCUCCAACCACCAAACCAGCCAAACCGAGCGAGUGACCACCGGCAUGACAACAGGCGCACACACACACAACACACACACAACACACACACAACACACACACAACACCCGCUCCUCCUCCUCCUCCCCUGGGUGGCACCGCCGGGCUGGGAGUUCGCCUGUUGGCAGUGGUGGUGGUGGUGGUGUUGCUUUUGUUGCUGUGGUUGCUGUGGUUGUUGUUGGUUGGACUCCAACCACCAAACCGGACUCCACUCCAAACCGGAGUGCCAACCAAUGGCAAGACAACAGGCACACACACACACACAACACAACACAACACACACACACAACACCCGCUCCUCCUCCUCCUCCUCCCCCGGGUGGCACCGCUGGGCUGGGAGUUCGCCUGUUGGCGGCGGCGGUGGUGGUGGUGGUGGUGGUGUUGUGGUUGUUGUUGGUUGGAGUGACAAUAAACCAGCGUUAACACGGCCCCACUUGCAACAGGCGGCGGCAACAACCGACUGACCUCCAACCACCACCAACCACUGAACUGAACUGGAGUGCCAACCAACGGCACAACAGGCACACACACACACAACACACAACACACACACAACACA
RNAcentral lists this long non-coding RNA (1364 nucleotides) under Numida meleagris (helmeted guineafowl). Its description in RNAcentral is "lncRNA (ENSNMEG00000002836.1)". The record is from RNAcentral. Lineage: Eukaryota; Metazoa; Chordata; Aves; Galliformes; Numididae.